This 465-nucleotide ribosomal RNA is filed under the name uncultured bacterium. Its description in RNAcentral is "partial 16S ribosomal RNA". It matches the Rfam family "Bacterial small subunit ribosomal RNA", at positions 338 to 795 of the family's 1533-position model. The record is from RNAcentral.
CCUACGGGCGGCAGCAGUGGGGAAUAUUGCGCAAUGGGCGAAAGCCUGACGCAGCGACGCCGCGUGAGGGAUGAAGGUCUUCGGAUCGUAAACCUCUGUCAGCAGGGAAGAACGGUCACUGUGCUAAUCAGCAGUGAAUUGACGGUACCUGCAAAGGCAGCACCGGCUAACUCCGUGCCAGCAGCCGCGGUAAUACGGAGGGGGCGAGCGUUACUCGGAAUUACUGGGCGUAAAGCGCUCGUAGGCGGUAUGGUAAGUUAAGGGUGAAAUCCCCGCGCUCAACGUGGGAACUGCCUUUGAAACUGGCAAACUGGAGUGUGUGAGAGGAGAGUGGAAGUCCAGGUGUAGGAGUGAAAUCCGUAGAUAUCUGGAGGAACAUCAGUGGCGAAGGCGACUAGCUGGAACAUAACUGACGCUGAGGAGCGAAAGCGUGGGUAGCAAACAGGAUUAGAUACCCGAGUAGUC